ACCUGGGUGGCUCAGUCGUUAAGUGUCUGACUUUGGCUCAGACCAUGAUCUCACAGUUCGUGGGUUCAAGCCCCACAUCAGGCU
This 84-nucleotide transfer RNA is filed under the name Felis catus (domestic cat). It matches the Rfam family "tRNA". From Rfam's summary of the family: Transfer RNA (tRNA) molecules are approximately 80 nucleotides in length. Their secondary structure includes four short double-helical elements and three loops (D, anti-codon, and T loops). Further hydrogen bonds mediate the characteristic L-shaped molecular structure. tRNAs have two regions of fundamental functional importance: the anti-codon, which is responsible for specific mRNA codon recognition, and the 3' end, to which the tRNAs corresponding amino acid is attached (by aminoacyl-tRNA synthetases). tRNAs cope with the degeneracy of the genetic code in two manners: having more than one tRNA (with a specific anti-codon) for a particular amino acid; and 'wobble' base-pairing, i.e. permitting non-standard base-pairing at the 3rd anti-codon position. Lineage: Eukaryota; Metazoa; Chordata; Mammalia; Carnivora; Felidae. The record is from Rfam by way of RNAcentral.